RNAcentral lists this small nuclear RNA (107 nucleotides) under Macaca nemestrina (pig-tailed macaque). Lineage: Eukaryota; Metazoa; Chordata; Mammalia; Primates; Cercopithecidae. The record is from RNAcentral.
GUGCUCACUUCGGCAGCCCAUAUACUAAAAUUGGGACAAUACAGAGAAGAUUGGCAUGGCCCCCAUGCAAGGAUGACACACAAAUUCAUGAAGCAUUCCAUAUCAAG